AGUGAACGCUGGCGGCGUGCUUAACACAUGCAAGUCGAGCGAAUUCUAACAGCGUAUCGUUAGAGUUAGCGGCAGACGGGUGAGUAAUACUUGGGCAAUCUGCCCUCGAGAGGAAAACAACCUGCCGAAAGGCGGGCUAAUGUUCCAUAAGACCACAGGAUGGCAUCAUCCAGGGGUUAAAGCUCCGCAAGGGGCGCUUGAGGAGGAGCCCGAGUCCUANCAUGGUAGUUGGUGAGGUAAUGGCUCACCAAGCCGUUGACGGGUAGCCGGCCUGAAAGGGUGACCGGCCACACUGGCACUGAGACACGGGCCAGACUCCUACGGGAGGCAGCAGUGGGGAAUUUUGGACAAUGGGGGCAACCCUGAUCCAGCGACGCCGCGUGAAGGACGAAGGUC
RNAcentral lists this ribosomal RNA (396 nucleotides) under uncultured bacterium. RNAcentral describes it as "bacterial SSU rRNA". It matches the Rfam family "Bacterial small subunit ribosomal RNA", at positions 29 to 416 of the family's 1533-position model. The record is from RNAcentral.